This 419-nucleotide ribosomal RNA is filed under the name uncultured bacterium. RNAcentral describes it as "bacterial LSU rRNA". It matches the Rfam family "Bacterial large subunit ribosomal RNA", at positions 2155 to 2596 of the family's 2925-position model. The record is from RNAcentral.
UUAUGAUCCCUUUUUAUAGGUUAGACAUCAGUGAAAUAGCAGUCUUUCAAAUCUUGAUAGCUAACUUUUUGUAGAAAAUAUAUGAUGGGUAGUUUAGCUGGGGCGGCUUCCUCCUAAAAGGUAACGGAGGAGUACACAAGGUAAUUUCUAACUGAUUUUUAUCAGUUUGAGAGUAUAAUGGCUUAAAAAUUACUUUACUGUUAGAUUUACGAAUCGAACAGUGAUUAACGUCAGUCAUAAUGAUCCGGUGACUUUGUGUGGAAAAGUCAUCGCCAACGGAUAAAAGGUACGCCAGGGAUAACAGGCUGAUGACUCUUGAGAGACCAUAUCAAUGGGUAGUUGGCACCUCGAUGUCGACUCAUCGCAUCCUGGAGGUGUAGAAGUUUCCAAGGUUGGGGCUGUUCGCCCACUAAAAGCGG